GAUCUCUUGAAUAGUAGCUCCAUAUUGGGUUUCCGUUAGCAUAGUUAUUUGCUAGUUCUUGAAUGAUCGUAGCUAGUCCAAUAAGUCUUUUAUUUGCAUAAAAAUCUGGUAUCUCGAUUCUAGGUAUCUCCGGUUGUUGCGAAAUAUCUUCUGGUAUAAUCAUAUCUCUUGUUAAUCCUAUCUUUACAACUUGUAUAACUGGUUUUAUUUCGUCAUAUAAUAUCUCUGCUGGUGCAGUAUAACACUUUAUAUAAAAUAAAUUUCCUUUUGUUAUUCUUUUGUAGGUAGUGAAUAUCUUGUAUAAUUCCUCCAUAGCUGUUAGCUCUUCUCCGUCUUGGGUGUAUAUGGUAUUUAGUAGUCCAUAGUCAAAACAAGUUUUAACUAGGCUUGGGUUAGUUUUGGGUAGUGCUAUCAGUUUAUUGUAUCCUUGUAGUUUUUGGGUUAUAUAAUUGGUAUUUGGUUCUUGGAUAUUUGUAGCUCUGGGGUUAUGGUUUAGAAAGGUUUGGACUCUAUAUAUAUUUUCUAUGUAUUUUUGGGCUGUGUAGUUGUAUAUUUUCUUGUCUUGGUUUAGGCUGUCUCGGUAUGUGUUAACUUGUGGGGGUAUGAAUAAAUGGUCUUUUUGUGCUUUUGGGGUAAAUGGUUUUUCAAAUAUUUUGUUCAUAUUUACAUUCUGGUAUCUUGGUCUAUUAACUCCUUUGCUUGUACCUGCAGAAGUAGAUUGAUAAAUGUUAUGGGUUUUAUGGAGUGUCCCAACGUCUCCUUCUAGCUCUGGAUUUUUAAUGUCUUUCGAUCGACAUAGCUCUGCACAUUGCUGAGUUAGCUGAUUUGUAGCUAUAGACUUCAGUUUAUCUUCAUUAGUCUUUAGCUUUUCUAUCUCAUUACCCAUACUGUCCACUUUCAUUGAAAGCGUAGUUAGGGUGUUAAGUAUUUUUUCUAGAGUAUCUUCCUCUACUAUUUCAGUCUGUGUAGCUUUGUCUUGAUAUGUAAUCUGCAAUAACAUUUUUGUUAGUACUGAUCACUUCAAUUGUAAAUGUGAAAUUUAAUAUAUUUAAAACUAGUCUUCGAAUCUCUUUUGUUGUAACUGAAUUUUGUAUUUUCUUUGUUAACCACCAGCGUACCUGUGUAUUAUCUGUUCGUACAAUAAAUUUGUUAUAUACAAUAUAUGGCUCAAAUGCUAAUAAACAUUUAUAUAAUGAACAUAAUUCUUUCCUAUUUAUUUCCCAUUUUAUUUCUGUCUCGUUGAACGUACCUGAGUAGUAUCUACAAUGGUGUUCUAUUUUUUCUGCUUCAUAUCGAUAUUUAAGUACUCCUCCGUAACUAUAUUCACUUGCAUCUGCUUCUACUAUAUAUAUAAAUUUUCUAUUUUCAUCUGGAAAUUGCAAUUUUGGUAAUUCUCUACAAAGUAAUUUUAUUUUUUGAACUUGUUUUUUAUCUUUUUCAUCAUAAUUAUAUUCUAUAUCCUUUUUUAAUUUUUUCUGCAGUGGUUUUAAGGUUUCUGCUAAUUUUGGAAUAUAUUCUCUUACUUGGUUUACUAAUCCUAAAAAUGAUUGUAAUUUCUUUUUUGUAUCUAAUUCUUCUUUCGAAUUUAUUAUUUUUUGUACUAUAUGUUGUUGCAUUUUUACUCCACUUUUAUCUAUUUGUAUUCCUAAAAAUUCUAUCUGGUUUUUCAUAAUUUCAGCUUUCUUUUUGCUUAGACUUAUUCCUGAUUUUUCUAUUAUAUCUGUGAAUUGUUCUAAUAAUUUUAAAUGUUCUUCUUUGGUUUUGGUGUAUAAUAAUAUAUCAUCUAUGUAUACUAUACAAUUAGAUAAUUGUUUAAAAUAAUUAUCCAUAAAAUGUUGAUAUCUACCUGGUGCAUUUUUAUAUCCAAAUGGUAACACGUUCCAUUCAUAAAAUCCUUGUGGUACCGUAAAUGCGGUUAAUUCUUUAGAUUCUUCUUCUAGCUUUAGGUGGUAAAAUCCUGAUUUACAAUCAAAUUUGCUAAAAUAAUUAUAUCCUUGGAUUUGUCUUAUUUUUAAUAUCUUAUUUGGUAUCGGAUAAUUAUAUGUUAUAGUUUUUGCAUUUAAAUUUCUAUAGUCAAUAACCAUCCUACUUUUUCCUCUUUUUUGUUCACUAUGUUUAUUUACUAUAAAUGCUGGACUAUUAUGUUUACUAUUACUUUUUUGUAUAUAUUGUUUUUCUAAUAAUUCAUCUAUGUGCAUUUUAAAUUCUUUUAAAUCAUCAAAAUUAUAUGUUAAUGGUUUUUGUGUUAUUAUGCUAUUCUUAUCUAUUAAUUCAAUUUUUAUAGUAGUUUUGUGUUUUUCCCAUCCUUUUAAUGGAUCUUCACUAUAUAAUUGUUCUAAUUUUUUCUGAAUUAUUUCUAUUUUAUUUAUUGAAAAUAUAGUUAUUUCUGUUUUAUUUAUCGAAAAUACUACUAGUUCUACUGUAUCUUCAGUAUUGUUUAUAUUUUCUAACUUUUGUGUAAUUUUUUCACUUCCUUUUAUCCAAUCAGUUUUCUUUCUUAUUUUAUUAUUAACUCUUUUUGCUCUUACUUUUUGUUUGCAUGGUGUUGUAAACCACCAGUCUGUUUUAGUUAUUAUAUGUGGGUAUAAUUUAUCUAAAAAUGGCAUUCCUAAAAGUAUAUCUUUUGAUGUUAAUUCAUAGUUAUAAAUUUCUUCUAUUGUUAAUAUCUUAUCCCAUACUUGUAUUUUUACAUUCCUAGCUUUAUAAGUAAUUAAGCUUCCUUCAUUAUUAAAUCCUUUAACUAUUAUUGGUGUUUUUAGUUUAUCCCAUUUGCUUUCUGGUAAGCAAUUAUAUCUACAUAAAUUAGCUUCUGCUCCUGUAUCUAUCAUAGGCGUAUAAUAUCUACUGUAAUAUCCUUCUACUACUAUCUUCAUUAAUACAUGUAUCUUCAUUUCAUGUUAAGGCUCUUUUUAAGAAUAACUUUUCUUGGUUAUAUGUUAAGGUUAAUUGUGUAUGUUCUAUAUUAUAUGGUUUUACUUGUUCUAACCAUUUUAUUCCUAAUAUUAUAUCUGCUUUUUGCAUUUCUUCUUUUACUUCGAAUUCUAUUUUUAUUUUUCUAACUCCUAAUAUUAUUUCUUUUUCUGCUAGAUUUUUAUUAUUUAUUAAACUUCUUGGUAAGUCUGGGCAUAUAUUAUUGUCGGUUUUUAUUUCUUCAUUUUUUACUAGAUAUUUUGCUAUAUAAUUUUCUUCUUGUCCUGUGUUCAAAAGUAUUAAAUAUUCUUUUUCAUUUAUUUUUCCCGUUAUGUAAUAUUGGUUUAAAUUACUUAUUGAGUUUGUUUCAUAACUUGUUCUUUUUGAUGAGCUUGAUGAUUCUGGCUUUUCAUUAGCUAUUCUUUUCGUUGUACUUAUUCUAUCAUUUACUAUUUCUAAAUUUUCUUCUGUAUCUAUGUCUCUAUAGGUAUAAUCAUUAUAAUCUAUUGUUUUUACUAUUUGUUCGAAUGGGCUUUCUAUUUGUAUUUUGUUAAUCUUAUUUUUUCCUGUUAUUUUAUGUUUUGUUGUUAAUACAUAUAGGUUUUUACAUCUUGCUGUAAAUAUUUUACUUCCUGGGGUUAACUCUAUUCCUGAUAUUUUCCAAUAUAAUACUAAUGAUUUAUCUAUAUUCCUAUCUGUUACUGCUACUGAAUAAUUUGCACUUAUUAUAAAUUUAAAUUUUUGGUAUAUUAGAUUUCCUUUUACGGCAGUUAUUAUGCUUUUUUCUAUAGGUUUUAUAAUUCUAUCGUCUGCUAAAUAUAAUUCUAUUGGUGUAUCUAUUCCUUCUCUAAAACAUGCUUUUAUUAAUAUCUCUGUACCUCCAAGGUGUACAUAUUUUAUUGGAUCUCCUUUACUUUUUAUAUCAUUUAUUUCUUUAUUAAUUAUUCUUUUUGUUACUAGUGGUAUACUAGCUUUUCCUUUUGCAUAUCUGCAAUCUAUUACAUGUUCUUUUUGGCAUACUACAUAAUAUUCAUCUUUUUUCCUAGUAAAAAUAUUUUUUAUUGUUGGUAUUUUAAAUAUUUUGUCUACACUUAAAUCUAAUUCUUUUCCUUUUAUUUCAUCAAAUAUAUUACUGUCAAAUAUUAUUUUUUGUUCCGUUCCUUCAUCAUUUAAAUAUUCUUCCUUUGUUAUUAUUUUUAUAUCUUCUUCAGUCAUUUGAUUCAUCUAUUUCGCUAUCUAUUUCAUUAUCUGUUUCGUUUUCUGAAAUUUCAUAUAUACUAUCUUCACUUUCUAAUUCAUAAUCUAUAUAAUCUAUCUGCAUGUAUUCGGUAUUUUCUAUUUUUAUUUCUGAUAUUUGUUUAUUUUUUGGAUUUUUAGGUAAUUUACAAUCUCUAGCUAAAUGUCCUAACUUUCCACAAUUAUAACAAGUACAUUCUUUUAUAGAUUUCUUUUUUCUAUAUGGUCUUUUAUGUUUAUAAUUUUUUACAUAGUAUCUUUUUCUUGGUUUUUUAUAUUUAUAUUUUGAUUUUUUAUAUUUCUUAUAUUUCUUAUGUCUUUUUCUUUUCUUAUAAUAUCUUUCUUCGCAUCCAAAUUGGGGUGCUAUUUUAUUUUUGCAACAAGCUAAAUUUCUUAUUAAUGUUUUUUCCAUUUUUAAUUCUUCUCUAUAUUUUUCACAUAAGUUUCUAUACCAUUGUUGUAAAUAUUUUAUUCUUGCUCCUAACGUAUCUACUAUUUUUGCUUCUUCCCAACUUUUUAUUAUUUUCGAACUAAAUGGCUCGGGUAAUUUAUUAAAAUAUAAUUUUCUUAUUUCUUUACUUUCUUCUAUACUAUAUGCUCCUUUGUAAUAAUAUUCUUUAAAUGCGCAAGUAUAUUCAUCUAUAUAACACAUAUUACAUAUUGCUAAUUUUAACAUUAAAUUUCUAUUUGUAUCUUUUUCUUCAUUUUGUUCUUCUUCGAUUGUUGUCGUACUACCAAAUUCAUCUUUUAUAGCUGUUUCAUAUUUUUUUAAUAAUUCUAUAGGUGUUAGUUUAGUUGUUGUCGAUGAUGUUCCUUCUAUAGGUUUAUUAGUUCUUAAUACUUUUUUGCUAUUUUCGGUUAGAUUUGCAAACCAUAGUUUUACUGAUCCUAUUAGUGUUUUUUCUAUAUAUUCCGGUGCAUCUGUUAUAUUUAUAUUAUUAUCUAAUAAUUGUUUUGUCAUAUAUCCUAUCCAUAAUUGUAUUGUUUUUUCUGUAUCUAUUACACAGUCUAGAUCUAAAAAGUUAUAAUUUUUAUUCACUAUUUGUUUUGGUAUCCAUUUAUCAUAUUCAUUAUAUUUUUUAAACUUAUUCUUAUGGUAUAUAGGUUUUCUUAUUUCUGUUGUUUUAGGUAUUAUAUUUUCAUUUUCUUUUUUAUCAAGAGUAUUUAUUUCUGUGUGGGUAUUUUCUAAGUUUUCCUCAUUAAUUUUUUGUUCUUCAUUGAUUUCUAAAUUUUUUGUAUUUGUUAAUAUUUCUGUGUAUGUUUCACUAUCUUCGGACUCAUAAUUAUCUGUCUCUUCAAUAUCUAUAUUAUUUAUUUCUAAUUCUUCGUUUUUUAUUUCUAAUUUUUCCUUAAAUUGAUUUAUCUCAUUUAGUAAUUUCUGUUCUCUAUCUUUUUCUUCUUUUUCUUUUUGUCUUUGUUCAUACAGUUCUUUUAACAUUUGUAAUUCUUUUUCUAAUUCAGCAAUUCUACUAUUUUUGGUUUCUUCUAUUUUUCGUAUUUCUUCCGUAGUUUGUUGUUUUAUUUUUUCUAUUUCUUUUUUCCUAUCUAUCUCUUCAUUUUCUUUUUCUAUUCUUACCAUUGCUGUUAAUUUAUCUUCUAAUUUUAAUUCUUCUUUUUCUAACAUUAGAUAUAAAUGUUCACCUAUUUUCUUAUAUCUUCGUCCUAGAUUAGAAAAUACUAUUUUUAUUUUUGAUCCUUCGUAGUUUUCAUAUAUUUUUUCAUCUAUUAUAAAUUCUUCUUUAUUCAUUUUAUUGUGAAUAGGUCAUGUUGAUAUACAUAUUCUAAACUAUCUAUUUGUGAUUCUAAUUUUGAUAUUUCAUCUUUUUGUGUAUCUAUUGAAUUUUUACUAACUCCGGCAAAUAUAUUAUAAUGUAGUCUUUCUAUUCUUAUUUUUAAUUCUUUUCGUUUUUCAGAGAUAAUUUGUUUUAAUUCUUUAUAUCGUUGUAUUUUAUUCAUUUUAAAUUAUAUUUAUAAUAUCUCGGUGGAUAUCUAAAUCUAAUUUUAUCAUAAUUAGGUGGUAUAUGUUUCAUUCUUCUAGAUUUUAAAUGUGUUAUUAAUUUUGAUUCAAUACUAGAUAUUAAUGUAAUUAAAUAGGAUAAAUGGAUACCAAAACAAAUAGUGAAUAAAAAUUAUAACUUUUUAGAUCUAGACUGUGUAAUAGAUACAGAAAAAACAAUACAAUUAUGGAUAGGAUAUAUGACAAAACAAUUAUUAGAUAAUAAUAUAAAUAUAACAGAUGCACCGGAAUUUUAAUAACUUAAUAACUCUUAAUCAGUAAAACUAUGGUUUGCAAAUCUAACCGAAAAUAGCAAAAAAGUAUUAAGAACUAAUAAGCCUAUAGAAGGAACAUCAUCGACAACAACUAAACUAACACCUAUAGAAUUAUUAAAAAAAUAUGAAACAGCUAUAAAAGAUGAAUUUGGUAGUACGACAACAAUCGAAGAAGAACAAAAUGAAGAAAAAGAUACAAAUAGAAAUUUAAUGUUAAAAUUAGCAAUAUGUAAUAUGUGCUAUAUAGAUGAAUAUACUUGCGCAUUUAAAGAAUAUUAUUACAAAGGAGCAUAUAGCAUAGAAGAAAGUAAAGAAAUAAGAAAAUUAUAUUUUAAUAAAUUACCCGAUAACUCUUAACAUGUAUAUUCUAGCUCUGAUACCAUUUUGAAGGGGGUGUGCGGAUUUAAUAGGUUAAAUAGAUUCACUAGAUUUGUUUCUAUAUAGAACGAGAAUUUACAAGUUUUUACAUUCACGUGUUUCUAAUUCUUAAAACUAAGAAAAACAAAAGUCAAUAAAAGUGGUCAUAAUGGCCUAACCUACUCUUACCUACCCUAAAGAAAAGUCCUAAAUGUGUAAGAAAGUAAAUAAUUGCUUUACAUUAUCUUGUCGUAAGAAAAUUUUUGUCUUCUUUAUUCUAGAUGUACCUCUGGAAUAAUAUUAUCUUCUCCAUUGCACCUCGAACAUUGGUGGUCUGGAUAUUUAUGUCCAAUUAUUUUACAGUAUCUUGUUAGCAGUCCUUCUGAAAUAAAUCCCUUUUUUAUUGCUCUCGCGGUAGAUUGUUUUUCUGGGUUAAGUAGCGUCAUUAUCCAUUGUCUUACGUCUUCCAUAUCUGCUUGUCGUAGCUCUUUUGAAUUUGAAUAUAUCAUUUGAUGAUCUCUUGAAUAGUAGCUCCAUAUUGGGUUUCCGUUAGCAUAGUUAUUUGCUAGUUCUUGAAUGAUCGUAGCUAGUCCAAUAAGUCUUUUAUUUGCAUAAAAAUCUGGUAUCUCGAUUCUAGGUAUCUCUGGUUGUUGCGAAAUAUCUUCUGGUAUAAUCAUAUCUCUUGUUAAUCCUAUCUUUACAACUUGUAUAACUGAUUUUAUUUCAUCAUAUAAUAUCUCUGCUGGUGCAGUAUAACACUUUAUAUAAAAUAAAUUUCCUUUUGUUAUUCUUUUAUAGGUAGUGAAUAUCUUGUAUAAUUCCUCCAUAGCUGUUAGCUCUUCUCCGUCUUGGGUAUAUAUGGUAUUUAGUAGUCCAUAGUCAAAAGGAUUAAUUUUUUAGAUUUACUAUUAGAUAGUGUCCAUAAAUCUCACAAAAAGUACCUAAAGAUUCAUAGUGAACUUUGAUGGGAGUUUCUUUUGAAACAAUAACACGUUG
RNAcentral lists this long non-coding RNA (7770 nucleotides) under Capsicum annuum. RNAcentral's name for it is "long non-coding RNA (CANN_LNC016193)". The record is from RNAcentral. Lineage: Eukaryota; Viridiplantae; Streptophyta; Magnoliopsida; Solanales; Solanaceae.